RNAcentral lists this ribosomal RNA (603 nucleotides) under Salmonella enterica. Its description in RNAcentral is "partial 23S ribosomal RNA". It matches the Rfam family "Bacterial large subunit ribosomal RNA", at positions 666 to 1266 of the family's 2925-position model. The record is from RNAcentral. Lineage: Bacteria; Pseudomonadati; Pseudomonadota; Gammaproteobacteria; Enterobacterales; Enterobacteriaceae.
CCGGAGGGAAACCGAGUCUUAACCGGGCGUUAAGUUGCAGGGUAUAGACCCGAAACCCGGUGAUCUAGCCAUGGGCAGGUUGAAGGUUGGGUAACACUAACUGGAGGACCGAACCGACUAAUGUUGAAAAAUUAGCGGAUGACCUGUGGCUGGGGGUGAAAGGCCAAUCAAACCGGGAGAUAGCUGGUUCUCCCCGAAAGCUAUUUAGGUAGCGCCUCGUGAAUUCAUCUCCGGGGGUAGAGCACUGUUUCGGCUAGGGGGCCAUCCCGGCUUACCAACCCGAUGCAAACUGCGAAUACCGGAGAAUGUUAUCACGGGAGACACACGGCGGGUGCUAACGUCCGUCGUGAAGAGGGAAACAACCCAGACCGCCAGCUAAGGUCCCAAAGUCAUGGUUAAGUGGGAAACGAUGUGGGAAGGCCCAGACAGCCAGGAUGUUGGCUUAGAAGCAGCCAUCAUUUAAAGAAAGCGUAAUAGCUCACUGGUCGAGUCGGCCUGCGCGGAAGAUGUAACGGGGCUAAACCAUGCACCGAAGCUGCGGCAGCGACACUGUGUGUUGUUGGGUAGGGGAGCGUUCUGUAAGCCUGUGAAGGUGUGUCGUGA